RNAcentral lists this ribosomal RNA (363 nucleotides) under uncultured bacterium. RNAcentral's name for it is "partial 16S ribosomal RNA". It matches the Rfam family "Bacterial small subunit ribosomal RNA", at positions 338 to 698 of the family's 1533-position model. The record is from RNAcentral.
CCUACGGGAGGCAGCAGUGAGGAAUAUUGGUCAAUGGACGGAAGUCUGAACCAGCCAUGCCGCGUGCAGGAUGACGGCCCUAUGAUUUGUAAACUGCUUUUGUACGAGAGUAAUAGUUCUUACUUGUAGGGAUAUGAAUGUAUCGUACGAAUAAGGAUCGGCUAACUCCGUGCCAGCAGCCGCGGUAAUGCGGAGGAUUCGAGCGUUAUCCGGAUUUAUUGGGUUUAAAGGGUGCGUAGGCUGUCGGAUAAGUUAGAGGUCAAAUGUCGGGGCUUAACCCCGGGACUGCCGUUGAUACUGGUCGACUAGAGAGCGGAUGCAGCAGGCGGAAUGAGUAGUGUAGCGGUGAAAUGCGUAGAUAUG